This 509-nucleotide unclassified non-coding RNA is filed under the name uncultured Glomus. RNAcentral describes it as "SSU rRNA". It matches the Rfam family "Eukaryotic small subunit ribosomal RNA", at positions 569 to 1082 of the family's 1831-position model. The record is from RNAcentral. Lineage: Eukaryota; Fungi; Glomeromycota; Glomeromycetes; Glomerales; Glomeraceae.
AGCAGCCGCGGUAAUUCCAGCUCCAAUAGCGUAUAUUAAAGUUGUUGCAGUUAAAAAGCUCGUAGUUGAAUUUCGGGGUUAGCAGGUCGGUCGUGCCAUUGGUAUGAACUGGUCUCGCUGAUCCCUCCCUCUUGACGAACUGUGAUGCCAUUAAUUUGGUGUCGCAGGGAAUCAGGACUGUUACUUUGAAAAAUUAGAGUGUUUAAAGCAGGCUCACGCUUGAAUACAUUAGCAUGGAAUAAUGAAAUAGGACGUUUGAUCCUAUUUUGUUGGCUUCUAGGAUUGACGUAAUGAUUAAUAGGGAUAGUUGGGGGCAUUAGUAUUCAAUUGUCAGAGGUGAAAAUUCUUGGAUUUAUUGAAGACUAACUACUGCGAAAGCAUUUGCCAAGGAUGUUUUCAUUAAUCAAGAACGAAAGUUAGGGGAUCGAAGACGAUCAGAUACCGUCGUAGUCUUAACCAUAAACUAUGCCGACUAGGGAUCGGAUGAUGUUAAUUUUUUAAUUGACUCU